GAUAUACAAGAAAGAGAGAGAUAUGGAGAGAUACCUCAGUAGGAAGAGAAAGAAUGCAAAAGAGAUAGAUAAAGAGAGACAAAGAUGGAUAGAGAGAGACAUGUGGAGAGCAAAAGAGAAAGAUGGGACUCAAAUAGGAAGAGAGAGAGGGCAAAAGACAUGGAUAGAAGAAGACAGAGAUGGGGAUAGGGAGAGAGAUGGAAAGAGACCCAAAAUGGGAAGAGAGAUGGAAAAAUAUGUGGAUAGAGAGAGACAAAAAAGGAAAGAAGAAGAGAGAGAUAAAAAGACUUAAACAGAAUGAAAGACAGGGCGAAAGACAUGAAGAAAAAGAGCUAAUAGAUUAAAAAUAAUCAUAAUAUGUAAGUGCUAAUUGCGAAUUUAGGAGCUUGGAAAAUUGUUAGUGGACUAUGAGUCUUUUGCUGAAAUAGAAAAACGGUAUGGGUCGGAAAUCAGUAGUUCUCUCUCUUCACUCCUUUCUAUCCUGCUCUUGAGCUCUCCUAUGGUUCUAAACGCUGAAGGAUUAUAGAGGUG
RNAcentral lists this unclassified non-coding RNA (531 nucleotides) under Hevea brasiliensis (rubber tree). Lineage: Eukaryota; Viridiplantae; Streptophyta; Magnoliopsida; Malpighiales; Euphorbiaceae. The record is from RNAcentral.